GUCUCUGUAGCUCAGUGGCAGAGCACUGGGCUUGUAAACCGGGGGUCAUGGGCUCAAUCCUCACAGGAGGCA
Acanthoscelides obtectus is the source of this 72-nucleotide non-coding RNA. NCBI's taxonomy places the organism in Eukaryota, Metazoa, Arthropoda, Insecta, Coleoptera, Chrysomelidae. The record is from the annotation of a GenBank genome assembly.